CUCUGAUACAGUACGCUGGGGGUCAAAGUGUGUCAAAUCAGAGUACAGGUCAGCAGGUUGUAAUUGCAUUGUGCUGCCUGUGUUGCUGCUUGUCUCCAGCCGUUUCUCGUCACAGAAAACGUUGCCCCGAGGCUAUGCGCUGGAAUGCCACAGGGGGCACCACCGGACUGAAUGUGGCAGCAAUGGACGCCUUUACAAAUCCCUGUAUGCCUUCCAGAGAGCCCAGUACAUCACCACUCAGCUACAGAUGGCACCACGAGCACACUGUGCAGCCAAACGUGACGCACCAAACGUAGCGAUUUCUCCUAAACAAAUAAUCUUUCAGGAAAAACUGAGCAUUUGCUAUCUAACUGAGAGUCUCCUCAUUGAAAACAUCUGAAGUUCUUCAAAGGUAAAUGAUUUUAUUUGAAUGAUUUUCUGUUUUUUGUGAAAAUGUUGCCUGCUGAUGCUAACGCUAAAUGCUACGCUAGCUAUCAAUACUGUUACACAAAUGCUUGUUUUGCUAUGGUUGAGAAGCAUAUUUUGAAAAUCUGAGAUGACAGCGUUGUUAACAAAAGGCUAAGCUUGAGAGCUAGCAUAUUAAUUUAAUUUCAUUUGCGAUUUUCAUGAAUAGUUAACGUUGUGUUAUGCUAAUGAGCUGCGGGGAUAAUUACACUCCUGGAU
Molecule: long non-coding RNA, 663 nt
Organism: Oncorhynchus tshawytscha (Chinook salmon)
Lineage: Eukaryota; Metazoa; Chordata; Actinopteri; Salmoniformes; Salmonidae
Source: Ensembl